ACUGCCUGGUACCCAAGGCUGUUUGUCCGUGUUUGGGGGAAGACCAACACACAGAUAUAGCACGGCAGCCCGAAUCACACUUGUUUUAAGAUUCAGGGCACUUACUACAGUAUUCCUGCCAGAACGCACUUUUUUUGUUACACCAGGACCCGACUGGAAAAUAUAAAGAUGGAUUGCUGUAGGCUGGAAAAUCAAUUAGGAAAGAAAGGAAUUCAGGCACGGUUGAGCUGUGUUUUCUGGCGCAAGAGCUUUCUCACAAGGCAGAAAUCAAGUGUGUUCGUGGUCACAAAAGUCCUAGAGACUGGGACCUAAGGCUGUCUGGCUUCAGGACAACAAUCUGUGUCGGGAUUAUGAUUUGAGAAAGUUCUAUCACCACCACCA
Rattus rattus (black rat) is the source of this 381-nucleotide long non-coding RNA. RefSeq lists it as uncharacterized. The transcript is spliced from 3 exons. The record is from RefSeq and is a predicted model, not a curated record. NCBI's taxonomy places the organism in Eukaryota, Metazoa, Chordata, Mammalia, Rodentia, Muridae.